Homo sapiens (human) is the source of this 371-nucleotide long non-coding RNA. RefSeq lists it as uncharacterized. The record is from RefSeq and is a predicted model, not a curated record. NCBI's taxonomy places the organism in Eukaryota, Metazoa, Chordata, Mammalia, Primates, Hominidae. The transcript is spliced from 2 exons.
ACAAAGUCUCGCUCUGUCACCCAGGCUGGAGUGCAAUGGCAUGAUCUCGGCUCACUGCAACCUCUGCCUCCUGGUUCAAGCAAUUCUCCUGCAUCAGCCUCCUGAGUAGCUGGGAUUACAGAAACUCAAGACCUGCUCGUGUAAACAAAACCUUAAUAACAUUUUGAUUUCUAAAGGUUUAUGUUCAUUGUUUCUAAAGUUUUAAUAAUGAGGAAGGUGAAAAAAAUUUAUUAUUAUAAAUAUCAAUUGCAAGAAAUCAUAUUAAAACAAUGUCCUUAAAGUUUAAGAUUUUUCCCACUUCAAAUUCCUGGAAAUGUAAAAACACAAUCUUUCAGUUUUUCUUGUUGAAAUAAUAAAGUGUUCUGAAUAAA